This 66-nucleotide transfer RNA is filed under the name Austinograea alayseae. Its description in RNAcentral is "tRNA-His". It matches the Rfam family "tRNA". From Rfam's summary of the family: Transfer RNA (tRNA) molecules are approximately 80 nucleotides in length. Their secondary structure includes four short double-helical elements and three loops (D, anti-codon, and T loops). Lineage: Eukaryota; Metazoa; Arthropoda; Malacostraca; Decapoda; Bythograeidae. The record is from RNAcentral.
AUUUAAAUAGUUUAAACAAAAACGUUGGCUUGUGGCGCCUAAGAUGUAAGUAAAUUACUUUAAAUA